Molecule: ribosomal RNA, 253 nt
Filed under: uncultured bacterium
Lineage: Bacteria
Description: partial 16S ribosomal RNA
Rfam family: Bacterial small subunit ribosomal RNA
Source: RNAcentral
UACGAAGGGGGCUAGCGUUGCUCGGAAUUACUGGGCGUAAAGCGCACGUAGGCGGCUUUUUAAGUCGGGGGUGAAAUCCUGGAGCUCAACUCCAGAACUGCCUUCGAUACUGGAAAGCUCGAGUCCGGGAGAGGUGAGUGGAACUGCGAGUGUAGAGGUGAAAUUCGUAGAUAUUCGCAAGAACACCAGUGGCGAAGGCGGCUCACUGGCCCGAUACUGACGCUGAGGCACGAAAGCGUGGGGAGCAAACAGG